RNAcentral lists this small RNA (67 nucleotides) under Actinoplanes friuliensis DSM 7358. Its description in RNAcentral is "Transposase-2 RNA". It matches the Rfam family "Transposase-2 RNA". Lineage: Bacteria; Bacillati; Actinomycetota; Actinomycetes; Micromonosporales; Micromonosporaceae. The record is from Rfam by way of RNAcentral.
GAAGCGUCAACCCGGCACGACACCAGUCGGUUAGACCGGGACCGUCCCUCCGCAAGGCGGGACUACC